UACAGAGGGUGCAAGCGUUAAUCGGAAUUACUGGGCGUAAAGGGUGCGUAGGUGGUUCUUUAAGUCAGAUGUGAAAUCCCUGGGCUCAACCUAGGAAUUGCGUUUGAGACUGAAGAACUAGAGUACAGGAGAGGGAAGUGGAAUUUCCGGUGUAGCGGUGAAAUGCGUAGAUAUCGGAAGGAACAUCAGUGGCGAAGGCGACUUCCUGGACUGUUACUGACACUGAGGCACGAAAGCGUGGGGAGCGAACAGG
RNAcentral lists this ribosomal RNA (253 nucleotides) under uncultured bacterium. Its description in RNAcentral is "partial 16S ribosomal RNA". It matches the Rfam family "Bacterial small subunit ribosomal RNA", at positions 524 to 776 of the family's 1533-position model. The record is from RNAcentral.